GACGAACGCUGGCGGCGUGCUUAACACAUGCAAGUCGAACGGAAAGGCCCUGCUUUUGUGGGGUGCUCGAGUGGCGAACGGGGGAGGAACACGUGAGUAACCUGCCCUUGACUUUGGGAUAACUUCAGGAAACUGGGGCUAAUACCGGAUAGGAGCUCCUGCUGCAUGGAGGGGGGUGGAAAGUUUCGGCGGUUGGGGAUGGACUCGCGGCUUAUCAGCUUGUUGGUGGGGUAGUGGCUUACCAAGGCUUUGACGGGUAGCCGGCCUGAGAGGGUGACCGGCCACAUUGGGACUGCGAUACGGCCCAGACUCCUACGGGAGGCAACGGUGGGGAAUAUUGCACAGUGGGCGGAAGCCUGAUGCAGCAACGCCGCGUGCGGGAUGACGGCCUUCGGGUUGUAAACCGCUUUCGCCUGUGACGAAGCGUGAGUGACGGUAAUGGGUAAAGAAGCACCGGCUAACUACGUG
Molecule: ribosomal RNA, 468 nt
Filed under: uncultured bacterium
Lineage: Bacteria
Description: partial 16S ribosomal RNA
Rfam family: Bacterial small subunit ribosomal RNA
Source: RNAcentral